CUCUGGCUUAUCCCCCAGCUCCCGCAGAGCAGUGGGGAAACUGGUUACUGUCCUGGAGCACUCUCUGGAAGCCAAGAUGAUGCGUUUGCUUUUACAUUAUGAUCUGUAAUAAACAUGCAUCACGCAUGAGCUGCUCUGCUGCUGAGAUGAGAAGUGACAGGCAUUAUUCUGCUGUUUUUUUAUAGCUGAAAUGUCUUGAACUUUUGGGCAGAGCUCAUAAAGCUGUCAGCACACAAUGUGGCAGUGGUGUUCCCGCAUAGUUGGACGCUCUUGCUGGGCAGGAGUUGAGCAAACACACUCAAUUUCCUUGCGCCCGCAGUAGUAUUGGCACUGGUAUGGAGGAGGAGAAAGGUAAAAGGAUUUCUUAUAGCUCCAGCAUGUCUCUGCAUGGGAAGGGAGCUCUGUGGCAUGGAAUGUUUCAGUACAGCUCCUCAUUGCUAGCAAACAUGUCUGACAGACUUCCAUCCUCAUGCAACAUUUAGUGUGGGUCACAAUGUUUGUUCCAUAGCAUGCACAAUUCCUUGUUCCUCAUUUUUGUCUAUUGAUGUUGGAUGUGUCCUUUUGCAUGGUACCUCCUUAAAGCACUGGAGCAGUGUUGCCAGCACCUGCCUAGGGGAGGUCACAUCCCUGUGCUGUGGUUUGUCAGGAAUGAGUACAUCAGUGCAGCAGUGCCUUGUUGGAGGAACGUCAGCUGGGGUGAUGCUGCAGGGCCUGUGUAGGGAGUGGAGAAUACCUGGCUUCAAGGAGGGUGUGGGUCCCAUGGCCAUACAGGCAGCCUAUGCUGAGGUCUGCUGGGCAGAGCGUGCUCAUGGGCUGCCCUUCUGCUUCUUGCAGCCUGGUACAGGAGGAGGAUGAGCAGAAACGUCUUCUGGUCACAGUCUGGAACCGAGAAAGAGAUUGCAGGCAGAGCAAACUGAUUGGGUGCAUGAGCUUUGGUGUGAAGUCCCUCCUGACCCUGGACAAGGUACCUCCAUCUGGAGCACUGCGUGCAGGAUUGGGUUGAGCAGGUGGAAGUAGUGCACCCUCAGGGCAGGAGCAGGGAGCAGCUGGCUCUUAGCACCAAUGGGCAGAGGGACUUUGAAGGUGUCCAGGGACCUGCCAGUACAGAGCCACUGUGAGCUGGCAUUGUGGUGCCACUGCUAGAGCCAGGGGUG
RNAcentral lists this long non-coding RNA (1154 nucleotides) under Meleagris gallopavo (turkey). RNAcentral describes it as "lncRNA (ENSMGAG00000021140.1)". Lineage: Eukaryota; Metazoa; Chordata; Aves; Galliformes; Phasianidae. The record is from RNAcentral.